GACGAAUGCUGGCGGCGUGCUUAACACAUGCAAGUCGAACGAUGAAGCUGGAGCUUGCUCCGGUGGAUUAGUGGCGAACAGGUGAGUAACGCGUGAGCAAUCUGCCCUUGACUCUGGGAUAACUGCGGGAAACUGUAGCUAAUACCGGAUACUUUCACUGGAAGGCAUCUUCUGGUGAAGAAAGAAUUUCGGUCAAGGAUGAGCUCGCGGCCUAUCAGCUUGUUGGUGAGGUAACGGCUCACCAAGGCGACGACGGGUAGCCGGCCUGAGAGGGUGACCGGCCACACUGGGACUGAGACACGGCCCAGACUCCUACGGGAGGCAGCAGUGGGGAAUAUUGCACAAUGGGCGCAAGCCUGAUGCAGCAACGCCGCGUGAGGGAUGAAGGCCUUCGGGUUGUAAACCUCUUUUAGCAGGGAAGAAGCGAAAGUGACGGUACCUGCAGAAAAAGCACCGGCUAACUACGUGCCAGCCGCCGCGGUAA
Molecule: ribosomal RNA, 484 nt
Filed under: uncultured bacterium
Lineage: Bacteria
Description: partial 16S ribosomal RNA
Rfam family: Bacterial small subunit ribosomal RNA
Source: RNAcentral